GAAUAAGUUCAACACAUUUUAAUCCACUUCACUUUUGACAAUCAGUUCAAUAUUUUCAAUAUAUAAAUUCAAAUGUUAAAUGUUGUUUUCAACAACCUUAUUGUAAGUGGUCUAAAGCAAUUAAGCUGUUGAUUUAAAUUUUCAAAAGACUCAUUGUAAAUGGUCUUAUCACUACAAGAAAAGUUGGAUAUUGCAACAUAAUUCUGCAACUUUUAUUUUUUGUUAAGAAUAUGCAACAAUUUUUGCAAAUAUUUUGAAGCGAUGACCACACAUCACAAUUUUAUUGCAAAAUCAAACAAAAAUUGUUUGUUGCAAAUUAUAUUGCUAAUUUGCAAUAUGUUUUCUUACAUAUAAACAUAUGUUGUAAAUUUGUGAAAACUAUUCAACGAUAAUGAGUUGACGACGUUGUUUUGCGUUAAAAACAUGUGACAAGUAUGUAACAAUUUAGAAGAACUCUUAUGACAAGUGUGGCAAUUAUAUACUUUGGAUUUUGUAACUCUUAAUCAGAAGUUUUGGUUUUAUUUGGUUCAGGUGUUGAUAAAUACAUAUUAUAUAAAUUAAUUAAUUUUGGCUUGCUUUACUAUUAAUUUUUUUUAUUAAACCUAAGUAUGAUUUGAGAAUGAUGAAUGUUUUUGGUCUAGUUUAUAUCCAUUUGAUUCAGCUCAAUACAUAUUUUCAUAAUGAUUAGGGUUUGUGCAUAUCCACAACUGAGAAAAGAUUACGCAUAGCCUAUUUCCACGUUUGAUUUUCAUUCAAAUUAUUUUAAAUUUGUUCAAAUAUUCUAAUCAAACUAAUAACAACCUUCUUGAUAUUUCAGUUAUCUAACAAUUCAGAAUCUUCUUUAGAUAAGGACAAAUUUGGAUCAAAUAUUCUCACGAUUACUUUUUUUUUUUGAAUAUAUAAUCAACGAUUAGAUUUACGGUUGUACAUUUAUAUAUAUGCCAUUCUGCUUUCUAUGUCUCUUUAUUUAUUCCAAACUUUCUCUGGGAUACAAACAAAUACAUAGCCAAAAUCUCUAUCUUUUAAUAUAAGCCACACACAUACGUUUUUAUAUUUACUAUAGCAUUUUCAGUUUCACUAGACGAGUAUAAGGAUCAGGCGCGUGUUUGUUGGUGUAUGUUCUCAGAUCAAGAUAAAACACAAACCUGUGUUUUAGCUUUUACUUGAGUCAGAUUAUUUCAGUUAAUUUGAUGUAUGUUUAGCAGUCAAAAAGUCUGUGAGAUCUGAUGGUAGAUGUGUUUGAGUGGAAAAAUACCAGUCAUUCUAAUCAAUGGUGGAUUUUCUGAUAUCUUUAGAAAAGAUCUUCCAAGAGCAGCAUUCAUCAAAAAGGAUAGAGAAGCUUGAAGAAAUAGAGCAAAUAAUGAAAAGUAUUUUGUCCUCACAAUAGCUGGGUGUAAAAACUAAUCUCUCAUUUUUGUAUUUUAUAUUUAUUAAGUAAAAGUGAUUAUAAUUUGUUGGGUGGUUUCGUCUUUGAUUGUUUAAUAUGGUUAUUUUAGUUGUU
Molecule: long non-coding RNA, 1501 nt
Organism: Brassica napus (rape)
Lineage: Eukaryota; Viridiplantae; Streptophyta; Magnoliopsida; Brassicales; Brassicaceae
Exons: 2
Source: RefSeq, a predicted model, not a curated record